RNAcentral lists this long non-coding RNA (779 nucleotides) under Junco hyemalis (dark-eyed junco). Its description in RNAcentral is "lncRNA (ENSJHYG00000003374.1)". The record is from RNAcentral. Lineage: Eukaryota; Metazoa; Chordata; Aves; Passeriformes; Passerellidae.
CCAAAAAUUCCCUCAAAAUUCCCAAAAAUUCCCAUUAAAAUCCCCUCAAAACUCCCCAAAUUCCCCAAAUUCCUGGAAUUUUCUCAGAAUUUCCCCCGAGGAUUUUCGGGAUUUUCUGCCCAUCCCAAAACCUGGCUGGACCCUCCCACGAUUUUGGGAAAUUCUCAAAUUUUUUUCCCAUUUUUUGGUUUUUUUUUUGUUUUUUUUUGCACUAUAUUUAUAGGGGGAGCCCCAUUCCAGAAUUUUGGAGAUUUUUGGGGAAAAUUCCUGGGAUUUUGGGUGGAAUUUUGGGGAAUUUUUAAGCAAAAUUCUGGGAUUUUGGGGGAAAUUUCCCAGAAUUUUGGGCAGAAUUCCUGGGAUUUUGUGUGGGAUUUUGGGCAGAAUUCUGGGAGAUUUUUUGUGGAAUUUUUUGGAAUAUUUGGGGAGAAUUCUGGGAUUUUUUUGUGGAAUUUUUUGGGGAUUUUUUGUGGAUUUUUUUGUGGAUUUUUUUGUGGAAUUUUUUGUGGAAUUUUGGGCCAAAUUCUGGGAUUUUGGGGGGAAAUUUCUGGGAUUUUGUUUGGAAUUUUGGGGGAUUUUGGGGCAGAAUUCCGGGAUUUUGUGUGGAAUAAAUCCAUGGAUGGACAGCCAGGAGUUGGUUUGGAACUGGGAUGAACUGGGAUGAACUGGGAUGAACUGGGAUGGAACUGGGACCAGUCUGGCCCAGUAUCAAACUGGGAAUGGGAGCAGGAUCUGGGCCCAGUAUCAGCCUUGGAAUGGCCCCAGUUUGGACCAGUACGGUG